Molecule: long non-coding RNA, 1595 nt
Filed under: Anas platyrhynchos platyrhynchos (common mallard)
Lineage: Eukaryota; Metazoa; Chordata; Aves; Anseriformes; Anatidae
Description: lncRNA (ENSAPLG00000023480.1)
Source: RNAcentral
GUCUGAGAAGACCCAUCUGCUGAGAAGACCCUCUGAUCUUUGCCUAGUUGCCAGAAUUUCCAGCUUCUACCAUACUACAGAAACUGCAGCCACAGCAUCCCACCAGUACACAAGCAGUACCUGUGCAGAAGCUGUUCACCGCCCACAGAGGGGAAGGUGAAGCUAGCAGCAACCUGCAUGUAUGUCAAGAGCAGAAGAACAGACCAAAGUGAGCACUCUGUACUGCCACUCCAGCCAGGGAAAAAGAAGAAAGAAAAUAGAGAAACUACACAUGAAUCCCACACAGGAAAAGACCCUCCUGAUCUGCAGUGUUCUACUGAGUCAUUCUGUUCAGAAUAUAUUUGCAGUUUCUCUGGUAAGAUGCUAUUUUCCUUCUCAACACAAAAAUGGCUGCAGGCUUUUAUUCUUGUACUCACCACACUCGUACUUAACCUCUUUGACCAAGAUUUCCUACCUUUCAUUUUUCCUAGAGCAGGCUAGGAUGCCUUACCUCCUCUAUCACUUAAUAGAACUACUGCACAAACACACUUGGUCCAGGGCUUCCAAGGAAAAAGGUGCACAUCUGUGUUGCUGUACCUCCCUUCAGCAAGUCUGACAGUUGCUGCUUAAGCUUCCAGUAUUGAAUGUGGUAAUCCCCUUGUCUUUAAGUUUGCUUCUAAAAUAUGAUUUAGUGAACCUUUUUCUUCUCGUCUGCCAGUAACGGUUGUCAAAGUUCUUCAUGACCUUCUCCAAAUUAAUUCUUGCUAGCAUUCUUGUAAGUCACAUCUCACUCAGCAUGAGAUUGACACUAUUAGGUCAUAUGCUGCAAUCUUCUGCAGUCUUCCUUAUUUUUAUUUUAGUCUUGCAUGAAGCACGUAGGGACAUGUGUUGGCAGAAAAGCUGGGGUACUGUGCAUUAAGGAGUGUGCACAGGAUUUGUCUCAUAGAUCUGAAAACAGAAGGGGUCUGGCGAAGUGAGUAUUGCCAGUCAUAAACCUAAAAAAUAACACUAGGACAGAAAACAUAGUGAUAUUUUUAAAAGAUGUAGGGCCAAUGAAAGGGGUGGGUGGCUUUCUUCUAUCUUGUGGCUUCAUCUUUCUUUCAGGUUGAUUUGGGUCAUAUUUUAAAAUUCUUUCAGCAAUCAUAAUGGCCAAAACCGUACUCUUUUGUAACAUCUUCUCUCUCAUUCUCUCUUUUAAUUUGGAUUUUUAUUCUUGAAACUCUUGCACAAUCAUUGCUUGCCAGCAUCCAAGUGCUGGCAACAACACAAAACAAGAGAAAUUUCCUGGGUUUUAUAGUAACUGGCAAAGCUAUUCUCCAGGGAGAGGCAUUAGCCCUGUGCAUAAAGCUUGGAUUUCAUAUAAAACAACCCAGUUAAAUAUGCUGUCAUUUUCAUGUAUGUCUUUAUUAGCAUAGCACAAUGUUUCUUUUGAUGCUUUAAAUAUUUUCAGACAUCCUCCCAUUUAAACUUAUAAUUCUCUGUUAUUUAUGUUAAACGUUACACCAAUUUUCUUGAGGCUGAGUCAUAUUUGCCUGCAGUUGUAGCUCUGUAUUUCAUCAUCACCAGUUAGGGUUGUCUACAGCAGCACAUUACUUAAAUCUAGAUGAAAGAUAUAA